This 1486-nucleotide ribosomal RNA is filed under the name Salmonella enterica subsp. enterica serovar Enteritidis. Its description in RNAcentral is "bacterial SSU rRNA". It matches the Rfam family "Bacterial small subunit ribosomal RNA". The record is from RNAcentral. Lineage: Bacteria; Pseudomonadati; Pseudomonadota; Gammaproteobacteria; Enterobacterales; Enterobacteriaceae.
CGGUAACAGGAAGCAGCUUGCUGCUUCGCUGACGAGUGGCGGACGGGUGAGUAAUGUCUGGGAAACUGCCUGAUGGAGGGGGAUAACUACUGGAAACGGUGGCUAAUACCGCAUAACGUCGCAAGACCAAAGAGGGGGACCUUCGGGCCUCUUGCCAUCAGAUGUGCCCAGAUGGGAUUAGCUUGUUGGUGAGGUAACGGCUCACCAAGGCGACGAUCCCUAGCUGGUCUGAGAGGAUGACCAGCCACACUGGAACUGAGACACGGUCCAGACUCCUACGGGAGGCAGCAGUGGGGAAUAUUGCACAAUGGGCGCAAGCCUGAUGCAGCCAUGCCGCGUGUAUGAAGAAGGCCUUCGGGUUGUAAAGUACUUUCAGCGGGGAGGAAGGUGUUGUGGUUAAUAACCGCAGCAAUUGACGUUACCCGCAGAAGAAGCACCGGCUAACUCCGUGCCAGCAGCCGCGGUAAUACGGAGGGUGCAAGCGUUAAUCGGAAUUACUGGGCGUAAAGCGCACGCAGGCGGUCUGUCAAGUCGGAUGUGAAAUCCCCGGGCUCAACCUGGGAACUGCAUUCGAAACUGGCAGGCUUGAGUCUUGUAGAGGGGGGUAGAAUUCCAGGUGUAGCGGUGAAAUGCGUAGAGAUCUGGAGGAAUACCGGUGGCGAAGGCGGCCCCCUGGACAAAGACUGACGCUCAGGUGCGAAAGCGUGGGGAGCAAACAGGAUUAGAUACCCUGGUAGUCCACGCCGUAAACGAUGUCUACUUGGAGGUUGUGCCCUUGAGGCGUGGCUUCCGGAGCUAACGCGUUAAGUAGACCGCCUGGGGAGUACGGCCGCAAGGUUAAAACUCAAAUGAAUUGACGGGGGCCCGCACAAGCGGUGGAGCAUGUGGUUUAAUUCGAUGCAACGCGAAGAACCUUACCUGGUCUUGACAUCCACAGAAGAAUCCAGAGAUGGAUUUGUGCCUUCGGGAACUGUGAGACAGGUGCUGCAUGGCUGUCGUCAGCUCGUGUUGUGAAAUGUUGGGUUAAGUCCCGCAACGAGCGCAACCCUUAUCCUUUGUUGCCAGCGGUUAGGCCGGGAACUCAAAGGAGACUGCCAGUGAUAAACUGGAGGAAGGUGGGGAUGACGUCAAGUCAUCAUGGCCCUUACGACCAGGGCUACACACGUGCUACAAUGGCGCAUACAAAGAGAAGCGACCUCGCGAGAGCAAGCGGACCUCAUAAAGUGCGUCGUAGUCCGGAUUGGAGUCUGCAACUCGACUCCAUGAAGUCGGAAUCGCUAGUAAUCGUGGAUCAGAAUGCCACGGUGAAUACGUUCCCGGGCCUUGUACACACCGCCCGUCACACCAUGGGAGUGGGUUGCAAAAGAAGUAGGUAGCUUAACCUUCGGGAGGGCGCUUACCACUUUGUGAUUCAUGACUGGGGUGAAGUCGUAACAAGGUAACCGUAGGGGAACCUGCGGUUGGAUCACCUCCUUACCUUAAAGAA